Molecule: RNA transcript, 2684 nt
Organism: Scatophagus argus
Lineage: Eukaryota; Metazoa; Chordata; Actinopteri; Scatophagidae
Gene: pir
Gene name: pirin
Exons: 8
Source: RefSeq, a predicted model, not a curated record
UGAACACUUGGUAAAACGGUUGUAUGUGAGCACAGUGUGUUUUCAAAUUUUCAUUGGAUUCUAAUCUUUACACACUGCUUACCUUUCACGCAGUGGAAAUAUCUUAAGCCACGCCCCCUGUCCGACUUCCGGGUUGUGUUCCCACCUGAGGGAGUAAAGAGAGCUGCUUUCACAACAAUAAACAAGUAAGAAACAGUCGCAACGUUGUCGGGAUUUGUUGUCAUAUGUUUCAGCACAAUGAAUGUGAGGAAAGUGGAAAAGACAGUUUUGAGUGUGGAGCAGUCAGAGGGAGUUGGUGCUCGGGUCCGUAGGAGCAUUGGUAGAAAGGAGCUGAGAAAUCUGGACCCUUUCCUGAUGUUGGAUGAGUUUAAAGUGAGCAAGCCGGCAGGUUUUCCAGACCAUCCUCACAGAGGCUUUGAGACGGUAACGUAUGUUUUAGAGGGGAUCACGGCCCAUGAAGACUUCUGUGGCCACUCAGGAAGACUGAAACCUGGAGAUCUGCAAUGGAUGACUGCAGGCCGUGGGGUGGUCCAUGCUGAGAUGCCCGUGUCAGAGGAGCCGGUGGUGGGCUUACAGCUGUGGGUGAACCUGCCGAAGCGAGACAAGAUGGUGGAACCAGCGUACCAGGAGCUUAAAGGCUCAGAGAUCCCCAAACCCACUCAGGGAGGAGUUACAGUCGCGGUCAUAUCUGGAGAAGCUUUAGGAGCAAAGUCUAAGGUCUUCACAAGGACCCCGACCUUGUAUCUAGACUUCACUUUGCAGAUGGGAGCUCUUCAUGUGCAGCCAGUCCCCUCAGGAUGGACCGCAUUCAUCUACACACUAUCAGGAUCCCUUCAUGUUGGUGAGGUUUGGCUAAAAGAAAGGUGCCGUUUUUAUUUGAUAAUUUAUUUCCCUUAUAAACACACACAAUUACCUGUCUCAUGUUGUCCAACACUUCAUAUUAUUAUAGGAAGAAAAAGAAAUCAAUAAUAGCCAUAACAGUCAGGCUGAUACUUACAGUCUUCUCUCACUCACUCACUUCAAUGCUGUCAUGUCUGCUUAACAAUGUGUGUCAUAUCAGUCCAGUUGCACCUUCCAUUCUACAUGAAGACAAAAGGUCCUUGUGUUCUACAUUAAAACUCAAAGGAUUCGAGCAGGAUGACGCUGAACUAUGAUCGCUUCACUAAACGAUGAUCUUCUGACCACUCCGGUCUGAAACGUACCCGACAUCACCGGAAAAAUGAUCACGCUACCCUACGGCCACCUCAAGAGUUUGUCCUCAUAUCGGUCACCCAUUGUGAUAACUUCACCCUGUUGAAUCAGCACUGCUGACAUAUUAUGAAUAUAUUAUAUGUUAUGAAGGACUUAUUGGUGGACAUUGUGUGAGAACAAACCCUUUCAAACAGUGGAACCAUUUUCAGGGGCUUUUCUUGGUCGUCGAAUCCCGUUGUUUUCAGUCUGAAUUCGCCUUUUUAUUAUUCUUUAAUAAAAAUUUUCUUAUGAUUUGAUCACUAUCCAUCGUUACACUGCAAGAUCUCUCAGACGGGGUUGUAAUUGCCGGCAGAUGUUUUGAUGACACGAGAUGAUGAAAAUGGCUACUAGGAUUAAAGAAGUAAUUUGAAUCUGAAGUCUCCGGCUCCGCGUGCAGUCUGGCCAAAUCAGGACCAGCUGGCUUUGAUGAAUGCAUGCACCAACAGUGGAAGUGUCUGGCUUUCUCAGCGUUUAGUGUCAGUGUUAGCGUCAGUACUUUAAGUGUUGCAGCGUGCGAACAACGUGCUAAAGCAGGUCAAGCUGACUGGAACACACACGUGCCUGCAUUUCUUGGAUUUCCCUCAGGAUCAAUAAAGUAUCUAUCUGUCUAUCUAUCUGUCUAUAUUUCUGUUUAACUCUCAGCGGUUUUGACCUGUGCUGUCCUGAGAUGAUUUGUGAAACAGAUGUAUGUCAUUACUACCGAUACAUGUUGGCUAAUAAGCACCAAGUAAGCCAGUUCUGGAUGAAAAAUCAAACACUAAUGCCAAUUUUCUAACUGCUUUAAUUUGUUUUGUUGCCGUCAAUGGGAAGCUCCUUCUCCCAGGAAUCAUAGAGUCCCAUUUGUUUUCCGAAAUACAUCAACAAAAGCUCAGAGGCCACAAACUCAAAUCAAAUGUAUUGACUUACAUGCUUUGUCUGUGGUUUGUUUCUUAACAUGACAUACGAGUCUUGUUGGGCCAGAAGUGAAUGUGAAUAUCUGUCCCAGCUCAGCAUUUCACUUUCUCUUUCAUCACACUGUCGUUGGAACUAAUGUAUAAUAAUUUACUUUAAUGAUGAGGUUUUAUGAGGCAUUGGACUGUUUGUUUCUGAAAAUAAUGGGAGUGGUGGGCUUACAUUUCCUUUAUGGGAAUUAAAGUGACUGUGAAGAGAAGGUAAGAAGGUGUCAACAUACCAUUAAAAAAAUCUAAAUAUCGCAGUCCUGUCAAAAUAUAAUUAUAGAAAUGUGAGUAUUAGACUGGGCUGGUUUAAAAUGAAUUGUUCUAGCAUUGCUGGGCAAAACUGUGUUCUUGUUUUCUUGUUUUUGAGGCCCGGAUGAGGAGCAACAGAAGGUGGAGCCCCAUCACACUGUGGUGCUUGGAGAUGGAGACUGUGUCCAAGUUCAAAACAAGGGCUCUGAAGUUUCCCAUUUUGUGCUCAUCGCUGGAGAACCAAUCAAAGAACCUGUGGUACAACAC